CCCCUAGAUGUUCUGGGCCGCACGCGCGCUACACUGAACAGUUCAACAAGUCUUAACCUUGGCCGAUAGGUCUGGGUAAUCUUUGAACGCUGUUCGUGAUUGGGAUAGACCUUUGCAAUUAUGGGUCUUCAACGAGGAAUUCCUAGUAAACGCAAGUCAUCAGCUUGCAUUGAUUACGUCCCUGCCCUUUGUACACACCGCCCGUCGCACCUACCGAUUGAAUGGUCCGGUGAAAUCUCGGGACGGCGGCUCGGUCGCUUGCGUCCGACUGCUGAAACUUGAUUAAACCACAUCAUUUAGAGGAAGGUGAAGUCGUAACA
This 320-nucleotide ribosomal RNA is filed under the name uncultured eukaryote. RNAcentral describes it as "partial 18S ribosomal RNA". It matches the Rfam family "Eukaryotic small subunit ribosomal RNA", at positions 1470 to 1796 of the family's 1831-position model. The record is from RNAcentral.